Molecule: ribosomal RNA, 406 nt
Filed under: uncultured bacterium
Lineage: Bacteria
Description: partial 16S ribosomal RNA
Rfam family: Bacterial small subunit ribosomal RNA
Source: RNAcentral
AUUGAACGCUGGCGGCAGGCCUAACACAUGCAAGUCGAACGAGAGGCGGACGGGUGAGUAAUGUCUGGGAAACUGCCUGAUGGAGGGGUAUAACUACGGGAAACGGUAGCUAAUACCGCAUACCAUCGGAUGUGCCCAGAUGGGAUGAGCUAGUAGGUGGGGUAAAGGCUCACCUAGGCGACGAUCCCUAGCUGGUCUGAGAGGAUGACCAGCCACACUGGAACUGAGACACGGUCCAGACUCCUACGGGAGGCAGCAGUGGGGAAUAUUGCACAAUGGGCGCAAGCCGGAUGCAGCCAUGCCGCGUGUAUGAAGAAGGCCUUCGGGUUGUAGAGUACUUUCAGCGGGGAGGCGUUACCCGCAGAAGAAGCACCGGCUAACUCCGUGCCAGCCGCCGCGAUAAUAC